This 76-nucleotide transfer RNA is filed under the name Desulfuromonas sp. AOP6. RNAcentral describes it as "tRNA-Glu". It matches the Rfam family "tRNA". Rfam says of the family: Transfer RNA (tRNA) molecules are approximately 80 nucleotides in length. Their secondary structure includes four short double-helical elements and three loops (D, anti-codon, and T loops). RNAcentral also lists the same sequence under 7 other names. Lineage: Bacteria; Pseudomonadati; Thermodesulfobacteriota; Desulfuromonadia; Desulfuromonadales; Desulfuromonadaceae. The record is from RNAcentral.
GGUCCCUUCGUCUAGCGGUCUAGGACACCGGCCUUUCACGUCGGUAACACGGGUUCGAUUCCCGUAGGGAUCACCA